UAACACGUGGGGAACCUGCCCCAUAGCUGGGAUACCACUUGGAAACAGGUGCUAAUACCGGAUAAGAAAGCGGAUCGCAUGAUCAGCUUUUAAAAGGCGGCGUAAGCUGUCGCUAUGGGAUGGCCCCGCGGUGCAUUAGCUAGUUGGUAAGGUAAAGGCUUACCAAGGCGAUGAUGCAUAGCCGAGUUGAGAGACUGAUCGGCCACAUUGGGACUGAGACACGGCCCAAACUCCUACGGGAGGCAGCAGA
This 250-nucleotide ribosomal RNA is filed under the name uncultured Lactobacillus sp. Its description in RNAcentral is "partial 16S ribosomal RNA". It matches the Rfam family "Bacterial small subunit ribosomal RNA", at positions 111 to 354 of the family's 1533-position model. Lineage: Bacteria; Bacillati; Bacillota; Bacilli; Lactobacillales; Lactobacillaceae. The record is from RNAcentral.